This 73-nucleotide transfer RNA is filed under the name Acanthogobius hasta (javeline goby). Its description in RNAcentral is "tRNA-Leu". It matches the Rfam family "tRNA". From Rfam's summary of the family: Transfer RNA (tRNA) molecules are approximately 80 nucleotides in length. Lineage: Eukaryota; Metazoa; Chordata; Actinopteri; Gobiiformes; Gobiidae. The record is from RNAcentral.
GCUUUCAAAGGAUAACAGCUCAUCCGUUGGUCUCAGGAACCAAAAACUCUUGGUGCAAAUCCAAGUGAAAGCU